UGUGCAUCGGCAGUCCUGGGAGGAGCGCAUGGCGGGGGCGCUGUGGAGGGAGGACCCAUUGUCUCAUUCUUGACCAUUUACCUAUUGGACGCCUGUGGGUCCUUAAUCUCUCUAUGCGCUGUUGGCCCUGGAAGUAAAAGGCUGAGAAGGAGAAGGUUGAAACCCCAAUACUUGGGACACCUGAUUCAAAGAGCCAACUCAUUGGAAAAGACCCUGAUGCUGGGAAAGAUUGAAGGCAAGAGAAGAAAGGGAUGACAGAGGACGAGAUGGUUGGAUGGCAUUACUGACUCGAUGGACACGAGUUUGAGCAAGCUCUGGGAGUUGGUGAUGAGCAGGGAAACAUGGUGUGCUGCAGUCCAUGGGGUCACAAAGAGUCGGACACAGCUGAGCGAUUGAGCAACUUUCCAAGAGGUGAGUUUGUGCAGCCAAAGGACAGUGGCUGUGAGGGAUGCUUCAGAGAGGACACGGAGAAGGGUGGGGAGACCUCCGUGGCGCCUCACUCUCUUUGUCUCUUUACUGUCCUGUCACAUCCUACUUGGCCACCAAGCCGG
Bos taurus (domestic cattle) is the source of this 551-nucleotide long non-coding RNA. NCBI's taxonomy places the organism in Eukaryota, Metazoa, Chordata, Mammalia, Artiodactyla, Bovidae. The record is from Ensembl.